AAUCAACGCUGGCGGCGUGCCUAACACAUGCAAGUCGAACGCGACUGAGGCUUCGGCCUCAGUCGAGUGGCGAACGGGUGAGUAACACGUGGGUGACCUACCUUCGAGUGGGGGAUAACGUCCCGAAAGGGACGCUAAUACCGCAUAACAUCCCGCCUUUGAACAGGUGGAGAUCAAAGCUGGGGAUUGCAAGACCUGGCGCUUGAUGAGGGGCCCGCGUCCGAUUAGCUAGUUGGUGGGGUAAUGGCCCACCAAGGCAACGAUCGGUAGCCGGCCUGAGAGGGCGGACGGCCACACUGGGACUGAGACACGGCCCAGACUCCUACGGGAGGCAGCAGUGGGGAAUUGUUCGCAAUGGGCGCAAGCCUGACGACGCAACGCCGCGUGGAGGAUGAAGGUCUUCGGAUUGUAAACUCCUGUUGCCCGGGACGAACGGCUCCGAUCUAACACGUCGGAGUGUGACGGUACCGGGUGAGGAAGCCCCGGCUAACUCUGUGCCAGCAGCCGCGGUAA
RNAcentral lists this ribosomal RNA (513 nucleotides) under uncultured bacterium. RNAcentral's name for it is "bacterial SSU rRNA". It matches the Rfam family "Bacterial small subunit ribosomal RNA", at positions 28 to 523 of the family's 1533-position model. The record is from RNAcentral.